AUACGUAGGGAGCGAGCGUUGUCCGGAAUUACUGGGUGUAAAGGGAGCGUAGGCGGGAGUGCAAGUCAGAUGUGAAAUACAUGGGCCCAACCCCGGAACUGCUUUGGAAACUGUUUGGCUGGAGUGCGGGAGGGGUAAGCGGAAUUCCUAGUGUCGCGGUGAAAUGCGUAGAUAUUAGGAGGAACACCAGUGGCGAAGGCGGCUUACUGGACUGUAACUGACACUGAGGCACGAAAGCGUGGGGAGCAAACAGGAUUAGAUACCCUGGUAGUCCACGCUGUAAACGAUGAAUACUAGGUGUAGGGGGUAUCAACUCCCUCUGUGCCGCAGCAAACGCAAUAAGUAUUCCGCCUGGGGAGUACGGCCGCAAGGUUGAAACUCAAAUGAAUUGACGGGG
Molecule: ribosomal RNA, 397 nt
Filed under: uncultured bacterium
Lineage: Bacteria
Description: partial 16S ribosomal RNA
Rfam family: Bacterial small subunit ribosomal RNA
Source: RNAcentral